ACCCAAAGCUGGGAUCCAAUCGCGACGCCGCCUCCCCCGCGGUAAUCCAAUCGCGACGCCGCCUCCCCCGCGGUCAAGCCUGGGCGCAGUAAUCCCCCGCCCGUCGCGCCUCCCCCACCGUGCCAUGCGAAGCAGCCCCGCCGCCGGCGCAAGCCGGACCGCGCGCGCCUCCCCUGCCGUCGUGCAGCCAUGGCGAGAAGGGGAGUGUGGAGGCCGAGCAGGAGGAAUGCCUCGCCCCUGGCGACAGAAGGCGGACGCUGCGGAUGGCGGGGCGGAAGACGGGCACUCGCCACGUCGGCCGCGGGCGGCGGCGGCGCCGGCGGCGGGUUCUACGGCUUCCCCUUCAAUGUCGCUGCGCUCCAGGUCAUAGCGCAAGAUCCCCUUCCCUAGCGCAAGAUCACCUUCCCCCCCGCCGCCCGGCUCCUACCCCGACUUCCAGCGCCUGCUCCCAGCCGCGGACGCGCUCCAGAAGGGCCAAGCGCCACGCCGGCGACGAGCCUCGGACAGCGAUGGCGACGACGACGUUCCAGGCUGCGCCGCCGCCGUGCGACCUCGCCAUGCCCCGUCCACGCCUUCGCCUGCUUCGCGCCGCUGGAGGCCGCGCGCCGCGCCGCUGCCGCCGAUUCCGAGCUCCUCGUGCGCACGGGCCCCGCCCACUGCGGCUCCCUUCGUUGUGGGAACCUCUGGGCACCCGACGCCUUCGCCGUCACCUGACGCGACCCCGCCGCGCCCUGGGGGGCUCGACUUCGUGGUCGACCCGCUUGACGGAACCUGCCGCCUGGCCUUCUCUUGCGAUGCCGCCUUCGCGUUCCCGGGCUCCCGCGGGGCCUCCGGCAUGCUGCGCUGCGCCGUCAAGCUCGAGUUCUCCUUCCUUGAUGUCGCCGAGGUCCUGGCAUUCCACGAUUCGUCCUCCUCCAGUUCUCGGCUGCGCCCUUGCUGUACUACCGCAAGGCGGCCGACGACAUUCACCAGCCACUGUUGUCUGACCUGCUCGACAACGACCCGUGGAUACGGACGACCGACAUCAGCCCCUGCGUUAGGGCUCCUGAAAACACUCCAUAGGAAAUAAAGAGAUUGAGGGAUAGGUUGCGCUAUGCCAAUAUGUCUGAUGAGGCUAAAAAGGAAAAGAUCUCAAGAAGAAUCUGAACCGUACCAUUAUCAGAGGGGGUGUCAUUAUGUUAUGGUUUGUUUGUUCUAUAAUCCUGCUUUGCUAAUCAGCUAUGUCUUGAAAAUGCUUCAGUUCAGUCAAAAAUUACCAAGAUCGCCAGUGCUUAGGUCACCAGAAGUGUGUCAAAUGGUUAUUAAUUCCAAACUACAGACUACUGAGCAUUGGACAGCAACGGCGACAUGGAGAUGGAGGUCGAAAGCGAGUUCAACAACCGCGAUGCUGACUCAAGGGACAACGUUGUCGACGACGACACAUGCUCGCUGAUGAUUGGUAAGGCAGGAUAGGGAACACAUGGCCCAGGGUGAUCUAAGAACCGGCUCAGUUCCUUGUAAGGUGGAUUGCAGGUUACCAUGAACAUGAAGCUCUCCUCCAAGAAAAUGAAGACUUAUAAAGGAUGAACAAGACAUGGCCUUGUCAGAGUGAGAGGCUUUGAGGAAAACAAUUAAACACCAAAUAGAGUAUGAUGGCUUGGAUAAGGUUUGAAAAACAUUUAAACACCAAUCGGAGUAUGAUGGCUUGAUAAGGUUUCUAUCCGGGGUCAUGUUUAUUUUUGUUUGUGUUGGCCAAAACUGAUUCUUUGAAUGAUCUUGUUUAUUUGCUUGUGGUCGAGUAGGUCAACCCAGCUCUGUCUGCAAUUAGGUGUCUAAUCCACUCUCAGGAUGAGGAGGUCCUAACUGAUGCCUGAUGGGCUGUUUUAUGCCUAUCUAAUGGACGUAAUGACAAGAUCCGAGCUGUGAUUGACUCUGACGUUUUCCCCACCUUAUGGAAAUUCUAGUGUAAUUGCAAUUUUCAGUAGUCAGUUUUCCUUCCAAUGUUCUAAUAUGGCAAAUGAUUGAAGUCCUAACUCCUAAUGACACUAUGAUUUCAGGUCGGUAUUAGUCAUUUUAUUUUGUUUUGCACAUAUGGAUUUACUUUUUCUUGAAAUUGUACAUCUGCAGUUCCAAUCCGAUUUGUGCCACAAUAAAAUUACAGUAACAGAUCAAGAAGAACUAAAUUAGCAAAGCUUCCUGAUUGUUUGUAUUACCACAGUACGGUAUGAGUUUGUGAUUACAUUUCUCUUAGACAUGAAUUAUGUUCCAGAGAAAUUGGGAAGCAGGUUUAGUUUAUGCAAAAUUGGGAAGAUGUGUUUUUCGGGUGAAUGACAUCACUCACUCUGGUGCAGAGAUGGCAGUGGUUUUAGUUUUGUUUCGUCCUACUAUGGCACCUUUCUCAUUUAUAGACUUGUUAGCUAUUGCUUUCAUCAUCUUUCCUCAUUCACCUCUUUCAAAAGAAUUGUGUGACUAAAUGCUUUGUUAAUGCAAAUAAAUGAUUUAUUGAGGGGUAUAACUCUGGGCAUCCUGGCUUUAAAAGAAUAGGCAAUGGACAAUAUACUCGUGUCAACAAUGGGCAUUCUGGCUUUGUUAAUGCUUUGUCGAUAUUUUGAUUUUUGGAAAUAUACUCGCAUGCUCCUUUGGAAUCGUCUUUUUUUAUAUAUAGCUACCUAGCCAUUGUUUACGGUCACAAAAAAAAAACAAAGAAGUAGGCAAAGAUGGCUUACUGCGCAAGUUCGUGUGCAUGGAAGAGGCUCUUGGCUUGGCUAAUGGAUCCGUAGUUGAUGUUUUUGCUGUUGUGGCUUCUGUUGGUCCUUUGAACCCCCCCCCCCCCCCCCCCCCCCCACUGCUCCCUUUAUCCAUUAGUCACACGGGAGAUUUGUUUGAUAGACUCCAGGUUGGUAUUUCUAAUUGAUGAAAUGUAUUUUGCGAAUCAGUUUUGAAUCCCAAUAGUUGAAUAGUUAUUUAUGCCUUGCUUUUGUUGCAGUCGCAUUGGAUUCCUUCGUAUUGUCUCCAACUAUUCCCAGGGCACAGGAUUGGAAUUCCUCGAGGAAGAAAUCCAUAACAAAUUUCUCAUGGCAACUAAAGUCAGUGAAAAUAGUGAUAGAGGUUGCCCCGUGGAUUCAGAUGACACGGUGAUCACUUAUAGUAGAACUUGGUACAUCCCCUUCCAUUGCAAAGCUUGAAGCUAUCAGAAUUGAACUAUGUACGGAUGUUAUGUCCCAUGAUGCAGUUAAAAGGGUCAUUGCCCUCAGAGAAGAUUGGAUCAAGAAUUUACACUCAGCCUCAAGAGUCUCAAGCGGUGGUGCAUCCGUGCGCUAUAUAUAUCAUUAUUUAUUCUGGAUUAGAAUUGUAAUUGUAACGAUAUCAUGCCAGUUCAGUUUGGAUUAGAUGCCGUUGAGUAGCUCCCCAUGGUAUGGAUGAUUGGUAGAUGUGGACACGUGUCUCCCUUUCGUGGACUUUAUUUGGUCAAUAAAGAAGUCGGCCAUGGUAUUUUGAUUUUGAUA
This is a long non-coding RNA of Panicum virgatum (switchgrass), 3485 nucleotides long. RefSeq lists it as uncharacterized. Lineage: Eukaryota; Viridiplantae; Streptophyta; Magnoliopsida; Poales; Poaceae. The record is from RefSeq and is a predicted model, not a curated record. The transcript is spliced from 6 exons.